Molecule: ribosomal RNA, 139 nt
Filed under: Phascolarctobacterium sp.
Lineage: Bacteria; Bacillati; Bacillota; Negativicutes; Acidaminococcales; Acidaminococcaceae
Description: partial 16S ribosomal RNA
Rfam family: Bacterial small subunit ribosomal RNA
Source: RNAcentral
UUAUUGGAGAGUUUGAUCCUGGCUCAGGACGAACGCUGGCGGCAUGCCUAACACAUGCAAGUCGAACGGAGAUUAUUUCGGUAAUCUUAGUGGCGAACGGGUGAGUAACGCGUAGGCAACCUGCCCUUUAGUUGGGGAC